CCAGACUCCUACGGGAGGCAGCAGUGGGGAAUAUUGCACAAUGGGCGAAAGCCUGAUGCAGCAACGCCGCGUGAAGGAAGACGGUUUUCGGAUUGUAAACUUCUGUUCUUAGUGAAGAAUAAUGACGGUAACUAAGGAGCAAGCCACGGCUAACUACGUGCCAGCAGCCGCGGUAAUACGGAGGAUGCGAGCGUUAUCCGGAUUUAUUGGGUUUAAAGGGUGCGUAGGCGGACGCUUAAGUCAGCGGUAAAAUUGGGGGGCUCAACCUCGUCGAGCCGUUGAAACUGGGUGCCUUGAGUGGGCGAGAAGUACGCGGAAUGCGUGGUGUAGCGGUGAAAUGCAUAGAUAUCACGCAGAACUCCGAUUGCGAAGGCAGCGUACCGGCGCCCAACUGACGCUGAAGCACGAAGGCGUGGGUAUCGAACAGGAUUAGAUACCCGUGUAA
RNAcentral lists this ribosomal RNA (445 nucleotides) under uncultured bacterium. Its description in RNAcentral is "bacterial SSU rRNA". It matches the Rfam family "Bacterial small subunit ribosomal RNA", at positions 331 to 793 of the family's 1533-position model. The record is from RNAcentral.